CCUACGGGUGGCAGCAGUGGGGAAUAUUGGACAAUGGGGGCAACCCUGAUCCAGCCAUGCCGCGUGUGUGAAGAAGGCCCUCGGGUUGUAAAGCACUUUCAGUGAGGAAGAACGCCUGGUGGUUAAUACCCAUCAGGAAAGACAUCACUCACAGAAGAAGCACCGGCUAGCUCCGUGCCAGCAGCCGCGGUAAUACGGAGGGUGCGAGCGUUAAUCGGAAUUACUGGGCGUAAAGCGCGCGUAGGUGGCUUGAUAAGCCGGUUGUGAAAGCCCCGGGCUCAACCUGGGAACGGCAUCCGGAACUGUCAAGCUAGAGUGCAGGAGAGGAAGGUAGAAUUCCCGGUGUAGCGGUGAAAUGCGUAGAGAUCGGGAGGAAUACCAGUGGCGAAGGCGGCCUUCUGGACUGACACUGACACUGAGGUGCGAAAGCGUGGGUAGCAAACAGGAUUAGAUACCCUGGUAGUC
RNAcentral lists this ribosomal RNA (465 nucleotides) under Vreelandella stevensii. Its description in RNAcentral is "partial 16S ribosomal RNA". It matches the Rfam family "Bacterial small subunit ribosomal RNA", at positions 338 to 795 of the family's 1533-position model. Lineage: Bacteria; Pseudomonadati; Pseudomonadota; Gammaproteobacteria; Oceanospirillales; Halomonadaceae. The record is from RNAcentral.